Molecule: ribosomal RNA, 477 nt
Filed under: uncultured bacterium
Lineage: Bacteria
Description: bacterial SSU rRNA
Rfam family: Bacterial small subunit ribosomal RNA
Source: RNAcentral
CUACGUGCCAGCAGCCGCGGUAAUACGGAAGGUCCGGGCGUUAUCCGGAUUUAUUGGGUUUAAAGGGAGCGUAGGCCGGAGAUUAAGUGUGUUGUGAAAUGUAGACGCUCAACGUCUGACUUGCAGCGCAUACUGGUUUCCUUGAGUACGCACAACGUUGGCGGAAUUCGUCGUGUAGCGGUGAAAUGCUUAGAUAUGACGAAGAACUCCGAUUGCGAAGGCAGCUGACGGGAGCGCAACUGACGCUUAAGCUCGAAGGUGCGGGUAUCAAACAGGAUUAGAUACCCUGGUAGUCCGCACAGUAAACGAUGGAUGCCCGCUGUUGGUACCUGGUAUCAGCGGCUAAGCGAAAGCAUUAAGCAUCCCACCUGGGGAGUACGCCGGCAACGGUGAAACUCAAAGGAAUUGACGGGGGCCCGCACAAGCGGAGGAACAUGUGGUUUAAUUCGAUGAUACGCGAGGAACCUUACCCGGGCU